CUCAAAUUUGAAAUCUGGUACCUUCGGUGCCCGAGUUGUAAUUUGGAGAGGGCAACUUUGGGGCCGUUCCUUGUCUAUGUUCCUUGGAACAGGACGUCAUAGAGGGUGAGAAUCCCGUGUGGCGAGGAGUGCGGUUCUUUGUAAAGUGCCUUCGAAGAGUCGAGUUGUUUGGGAAUGCAGCUCUAAGUGGGUGGUAAAUUCCAUCUAAAGCUAAAUAUUGGCGAGAGACCGAUAGCGAACAAGUACAGUGAUGGAAAGAUGAAAAGAACUUUGAAAAGAGAGUGAAAAAGUACGUGAAAUUGUUGAAAGGGAAGGGCAUUUGAUCAGACAUGGUGUUUUGUGCCCUCUGCUCCUUGUGGGUAGGGGAAUCUCGCAUUUCACUGGGCCAGCAUCAGUUUUGGUGGCAGGAUAAAUCCAUAGGAAUGUAGCUUGCCUCGGUAAGUAUUAUAGCCUGUGGGAAUACUGCCAGCUGGGACUGAGGACUGCGACGUAAGUCAAGG
RNAcentral lists this ribosomal RNA (500 nucleotides) under Saccharomyces cerevisiae (brewer's yeast). RNAcentral describes it as "eukaryotic LSU rRNA". It matches the Rfam family "Eukaryotic large subunit ribosomal RNA", at positions 108 to 611 of the family's 3401-position model. Lineage: Eukaryota; Fungi; Ascomycota; Saccharomycetes; Saccharomycetales; Saccharomycetaceae. The record is from RNAcentral.